Long non-coding RNA from Trichoplusia ni (cabbage looper), 717 nucleotides. RefSeq lists it as uncharacterized. The transcript has 3 exons. NCBI's taxonomy places the organism in Eukaryota, Metazoa, Arthropoda, Insecta, Lepidoptera, Noctuidae. The record is from RefSeq and is a predicted model, not a curated record.
UUUUGUAUUGGCCAAGCCCCAGGGCAGUCGCUCGUAAGCCGUCGCGCCGAUCGCAUGUCUCCGCGUCUAGUGUACGGAUCAGUAAAAAUUCGCUGUUCUUGUGCCCGCACUAUUCUCGUAGCGGUGACUGAAAAUGUAUAUUUAGACAAUUUAUUUGUGAAGGAUAAAUUAAUACCGAGUGUGACAGUGUAGAUCCAAUUUUUUUUAGUGUCCAGUGAUGUGAAUGUUGUGGAGAUUUUUUGUAGUGUUUCCCUGAGAUUUUUGCGAGACAAAGAUAAAGGGGUAAAAGCAAAGUGCAAGGAUUUUACUGCAAUAACAAGCAAAGAUAUUAAACGCUCCACUAGGUAAGUGGAAAAUAAAUCUUCAGCUGACAUAUUUAAAAAAUAUAUCUGCCUUUUAAAUUCGUUAUGACCUUCAACUGCGUAAUUUGAACCAUAGCUCUGAACCGAAUAAAAAAUAAUCCAAAUUUUGUUUUGAAAUUACAAAUUAUUCGAGAGUGCCUAAAUAAAGCCUCAUUAGUAGACGUCUUAAUAACGAAGUUAAUUAAAUUGAAAUCGAAAAGUUCUACCUUUAAGUUUAAUCAAAAUAUAAACUUAAUUAUAAAACCUUUUAUUUCAACCUAUAAUUUAUAAAGAUAUCUUAAUUAACAAAUCUGUCUUAGAUAGAAAAGUUAUAAAAUUUUUCCUUACCUUUUUAUAUUAAGUAUCAUCAUCAAAA